This 1317-nucleotide ribosomal RNA is filed under the name Triticum aestivum (bread wheat). Its description in RNAcentral is "partial small subunit ribosomal RNA". Lineage: Eukaryota; Viridiplantae; Streptophyta; Magnoliopsida; Poales; Poaceae. The record is from RNAcentral.
AUGGAUGCGCUCCUCAGUGCGGCGCAAUGGGUGGUGGGCAAGGCGCUGGCCCCCGUUGCUGAUGGCGUGCUGGAGGCUUGGGGUGCCACCAAGAACUUGGGUCUCAACAUCGAGGCCUUAAGGAUGGAGCUGCUGCUCGUGAAGGCCACCCUCGAAACUGCCAGCUACAAGAAGGUCGAUGGUCCGGCCAUGCAAGUGCUCCUAGGGAAGCUGCGUGACUCGGCGCUCUCCGCCAAGGACUUGUUGGAUGAGCUGGACUACUUCCGCAUCCAUGAUCAGCUCUACGGCACAUACGAUGCUGCAGACCAGCAUGCCAAGGGCGGCAUCCGCGACCUUGCCCUCAACGUUCGUCACGCCGCCAAAGCUGUUGGCAAACUGACAUUUGUAUCUUCAUGCUACUGGUCUGCUGCUAACCCUACAGGUGAUUCUGGAGAAGAUGCAGGACAACGGGCAAGCUGUUGUGCUUGGGCACGUGCUAGGCAGAAGCCACGCGGUAAUUCAUCCGCAACGCCAAAUGCCAAUCAAGAGCCAACUCUUUGUGGUGCGCCACAAAGAGAAAAACCAGUGCUGGGUUUUAAUAGGGUUGAUUUCUCUGAAAGGAUGAGGCAUAUUGUAGAGCAAUUGCAGCCUGUGCGUAAAGAGUUUACUCAGAUUCUGCAGAGUUGUGACCGUAUAACUAUUCCAGAUAUUGCCCAGAGACGUCCCAUUACUAUCGGUCAAAGUAUAGAGCCAAAAUUGUAUGGGAGGGACCUUAUCAUGGAUGCCAUCAUACGUGACAUGACCAAGGGUAAAUACCUUAGCAAUGAUCUAACUGUGCUUCCGAUUGUUGGUCCAGGGGGAAUUGGAAAAACAACUCUGAUACAACACAUAUAUAGAAACCAACAAGUUCAAAAUCAUUUCCAAGUUGUUAUUUGGGUAUGUGUGUCACUCAGUCUCAAUUUGAAUAAGCUGUUAGAAGAGAUUAAUACAUACAUCCCUCGGGUUGAAGGGGAAAAGGAUGGUAGGGUUGAGGAGCUGAUUGAACAAAUAUUAAAAUCUAAAAGGUUUUUGCUUGUACUGGAUGAUAUGUGGGAGUUUAGUCAUGGGGAUGAUUGGAAAAGGUUAUUGUUGCCACUCAAAACAUCGCAAGCAAUGGGUAGCAUGAUUCUGGUCACAACUAGGUUUCCAAAAAUAACAAACAUGGUUGGAACAGCUAAACAUAUUGAAUUGCAAGGGUUAGAAUCUGAAGAAUUUAGGAAGCUAUUCCUUGCAUUUGUCUUUGGCAAUGAGCCCGUUAGAAGUGAUCAAUUUUUUUGCUCGAGAUUGGAAAUAAGAUAA